Molecule: non-coding RNA, 109 nt
Filed under: Homo sapiens (human)
Lineage: Eukaryota; Metazoa; Chordata; Mammalia; Primates; Hominidae
Source: RNAcentral
GGCUGGUCUGAAGAUAGCGAAGUAUCUCAACUGAUUGUUCACAGUUCGUUAAGGAUCUUACUCUUUGUUCUACAAUUCCCCCCUUCUCACUACUGCACUUGACUAAUAA